CGGGGUGCUCUUCGUCGAGCUCCGUUGGCUGAGCGGCCGGGCGAGGUCGCGGAGGCAGAGGUAGGUGGUGUCGGUGGGCAAGGGGCAUGCAUCAGCAGCAGCAGAAAUGCUGCAGCUGAGCUAGACAGUCGUAGGUGCAGUAGCAGCUUGUAGCAAGGAGCGGCCUGCACUCAGCUCCUUGAGCGACUGGCCACAAAACAAGAAGUUGUACUGUUGGGCAGGAGGUCCUCAACCCCGCAACUCCUCCAGCAGGCUCCACUGUUUGCCGUUGAAUUAUAAGCCAUGGCAUUGGAGUGGGAUGCGUCCACACUGACGACAUUGAACAGACAGGGGUGGUGGCUGCGAACUGCCUGUACGUGGUGGUGGCGUAGUACCAUCAGGGAGGAGGAAGAGUGGUGGCAGGGGAGCAUCACCUGCUGCCGGAGGAUAAGUUGGCAAUAUCGUAUUCUAUUAUGUAUUGAACUUAAGUGCAGGGUUGAAUUGAACUUUUCUAACACAUAUUCACUGAACUCGGUCCCCUUGAAUGUUUAUUUUUAUAGUUAUGUUGGCAUGAGGCUAUGAAAUACAUCUCAACAAUUGUUUUUGGGUGAGUUUCAAAAAAUAUAAUACUAAGUGAAAUACUGGGCAAUCUCCUCUAUUUCAUACUCAGCAAAAGCAAAACGUUUGGGUCGACUAGUUUCCUUGUCACGGGGUAUGUGCAAGUCUACUACACGACCUACCUGAAUAAGAAUCUCAUACAAAACCCUCUCCGAGACCUUUUCAUCCAAGUUACCUAUUUAAGAAAUACACAGUUCAAGAAUUAAUACAGUACUGGUGAUUACUCCAUUAUAUUUAGGCAUGCAAAAAAGAGAGGCAAAGUGGAACAAUAACAAUCGUUGAAAAAUAGCGAAACUAGAGUACAGCAACACGUCAACCAUGGUAAACAUAUAUAUGCAAAAAAGAGGGGCAAAGUGGGACAUGAACAAUCAUUGAAAAAUAGCAGAACUAGAGUACUGCAACAGUGUCAACUAUGAAAAACAUAGAUCAGUCAACUAGCAGAACUAGAGGAUCUGCAACAGCCUAACAGUAAAUAAAACUGUCAAGGGCCUCGGUGCCCAAGACAGCAGGACCUCGACUACGUAGUUCGUAGUCGCGGUGGAUAGGAGCGCUAGGGUUUUUGCCUGGCUGCUCUAUGAUGCGGGAGGGGAAGAUAGAAGGAAAUAACUUUAUUGCUUAUCCCUAAAGGGUGCUAACUAUCUGAUAUAUAAAGGCCCCAUGGGCUAAUAACAAACUAGAAACCUAUACGAAACAAACUAGUCUAGGAACUAAUGUGCCCGGAUCAGGACUCCUGUCCAGCCUGCGCCUUGCCUGAUGCGGCCAUCGGCUGCUCCUGGCCGUGCGGCCCACGUCUGUAAGACGUGCCCCACAUGACAUCUCUCCCCCCCUCGAGGAGCAGCUCGUCCUCGAGCUGAAAAGCGGGGUAGCGCUCGACGAAACUGUCAAGAUCCUCCCAUGUAGCUGACGAAGCUGCUUCACCCUUCCAGUGGACGAGUAGCUGGCGAACGCCGCGUGCUAGGCGCGCACGAGUCACGCGCUCUGGUUCUGGAACAGCCGCCCCGUUGUGGAUCGAAGGCAAUCCCGGCGGUGUAGUUGGAGGAAUGCCGAAGAACUUCUUGAGGAGGCCCACGUGGAACACGUCAUGGAGGCGCGAGCGUGCCGGAAGCUCAAGACGGUAUGCCACGUCGUUGAUCACUUCUGAAAUGCGGUACGGCCCAUAGAAUCGUGGCUUGAGCUUGCCCCUGGUUGGCAAGUUAAGAGAGGACGCGGCGCGCUGUCGAAGGCGAAGCCAAAGCCAAUCGCCCACCUCAUGCCGAAUGUCCCGAUGACGUCUGUCGUAGUAGGACUUAUAGACCGCCUGUGCCUGUUGUAGACGAUAGCGGACGUCCUCGAUAAGUUCGUCGCGCUCAGCCAUGCUCCUGGCCACUGCAGCCACCCGUGUGUCGCCGGGCUCGUAAGAGCGAAUAGUGGGAGGGUCACGGCCAUACACAAGCUUGAACGGAGUCUCUUGGGUUGCUGUCUGGUAGGCGGUGUUGUAUAUGUACUCAGCCCAGGGAAGCCACCGGAGCCACUGCUUGGGACGAUCCCCGGUAAGACACCGUAAAUACAUCACAAUGAUCUUGUUAGCAGCCUCCGUUUGACCAUCCGACUGCGGGUGAAAUGCUGACGUCAUGUGCAGCUUUGUCCCCGUGAGGCGCAUGAGCUCUCGCCAAAAAGCGGAGGUGAAGACGGGGUCGCGGUCAGAGACCAUGGACUGCGGCACGCCAUGGAGACGAACAACCUCAGCGAAGAACACCUGUGCCACUGACUCUGCCGUGUAUGGGUGGGCUAACGCCACAAAAUGGCAAUACUUACUGAAGCGAUCCACCACGGUGAGGAUGACAGACUUCCCGCCUACUCGAGGAAGCGCUUCCACGAAGUCGAUGCCGAUGUCAGUCCACACGCCCGUGGGCACCGGCAGCGGCAGUAGCAGCCCAGCGGGGUGCAAGUGCUCGGACUUGUACCGCUGGCAAGUACCGCAAGUGCGGACGUACUCCUGCACCAUCUUGCGAAGGUUAGGUGCGUGGAAAUCGCGGCGGAGACGAUGCAAUGUGCGCAGGACGCCUUCAUGCCCAUCAUCGUGCAUGGCACUGAGAAUCUCCUGGAGUAGCGGGGAUGACGGCGGAAUGUAGAGGCGGCUGUUGAAAGUAACGAGGCCGUCGGAGAGCGCCCAAGGCUGUUGCCGCGCACCUGCCGUGAUAUCCUCCCGCAGUGUGACGAGCGCCGGAUCAGUGGACGUCGCUUGCCGGAGGCGAUUGAUGAAGUCGAAACGAGGCCCUGAGACCGCCAUGAUCGUCGUCUCCUCCGUGUCACGGCGGGAAAGUGCAUCCGCCACCGUGUUGGUACUACCUGCCUUGUACUCCACCGUAAAGUCGAAUCCCAGGAGUUUGCCAACCCAAUGAUGCUGCGGGAUGGUGGCCAAACGCUGGUCAAGCAGAAAUUUGAGGCUGUAAUGAUCCGUUUUUACCACAAACUGACGCCCCCAUAGGUACGGCCUCCAAUGGCGAAUCGCGAGCACCAGGCCGAUGAGUUCCCGUUCAUACGCUGCCAGGGAACGGUGACGUGGCGCGGCUGGCCGGCUAAAGAAAGCCACCGGGUGGUGGUCCUGAAGAAGGACGGCCCCGAAACCGUACGUCGAUGCGUCACACUCGACGAUGAACGGCCGUGUAAAAUCCGGUAACGCGAGGACGGGAGCCAUGGUGAUUGCCGUCUUGAGGGUGUUAAAAGCUGCUGCCGCCUCCGGCGACCAAGAGAAACCAUCCUUGCGAAGGAGGGCCGUCAGGGGCGCGGCAACCACGCCAAAGUCCUUGACAAACUUGCGGUAGUACCCCGCAAGGCCGAGAAAGCCCCGAACCGCGCGCGCCAAGCGUGGUUGCGGCCAGUCCGCCACUGCCUGCACCUUUUCUGGAUCCAUGGCCACGCCUGCAGCGGAGAUGGUGUGACCCAGGUAUGCGAUUGAUUCAACGGCGAACGUGCAUUUGGAGCGCUUGACGAAGAGACGGUGCUGGUGCAGGACCGUGAAGACGGUGCGCACAUGUCGGAGAUGGUCAGCCCAUGUCUCGCUGAAAAUGAGGAUGUCGUCAAAGAAGACGAGAACAAAACGGCGCAGGUAUGGCCGCAGCAGAUCAUUCAUGAGGGCCUGGAACGUGGCCGGCGCGUUGCAGAGUCCGAACGGCAUCACCAGAAACUCGUAGAGGCCGUCAUGAGUACGGAAAGCUGUCUUCGGGAUGUCCUCCGCACGCAUCCGCACCUGGUGGUAGCCGGAACGUAAAUCGAGCUUGGUGAAGAAACGAGCGUGCCGUAGCUCGUCGAGGAGUUCGUCCACCACCGGAAUCGGGAACGCAUUCUUGACAGUAAUGGCGUUCAGGGCGCGAUAAUCGAUGCAGAAGCGCCAGGACCCGUCGGCCUUGCGGACCAGCAGUACCGGGGACGAGAAUGCGGAACAACUCGCACGGAUGAUACCUUGGGCGAGCAUGGCGGCGCACUGACGCUCCAGCUCGUCCUUGUGCGCGGCCGGGUAUCGAUACGGACGGACGGCCACCGGGGCGGAACCAGGUAGCAGGGUGAUGCCGUGAUCGCGGCUGCGGGGCGGUGGCACGCCGGAGGGGUCGGCGAAGAUGCCUUCGAACUCGGUGAUGAUGGCGUCCAGGAAGUCGCGGCCGCUGCAUGAUUUUAGGGCUGGCCCGUCCGGUCCUGCAAUGCCGUGCCAGCACACCCGAUGGCCCCGCCGCCAAAAUGUCAUGGAGAGGGCUCGGAAAUCCCACAGGAUCGGUCCGAGCGACGCCAGCCACUGCGUGCCCAGGACGAUGUCGUAGCCCGCGAGCGGCAAGGCGAGGAAAUCCUCCGCGAACUCCUCGUGGCCGAUGCGGAAGGGCACGACGCGGUACGCGCCCUGGCAUGGAACGCGCUUGCCGUUGGCCACCGUGACGCGCAUCUUCUCUGUGGUGGGGGGCGGUAACGUAGCACGAGCGGCCGCCUCUUCGGCGAUGAAGUUGUGGGUGGAGCCUGAAUCGAUCAGGGCGAGAAGGGAGACACCUCCGAGAGUAAUCUGCAUCUGCAUGGUUUCACUCGUGCGCACGCCGGCGAUCGCGUGGAGCGAGAUUUGAGGGUCGGCCCGCGAUGCAUCAUCAGUGGCGGAGGCCGCGUCGUCGUCGUCGUCGUCCGGCGCUAAGUCGAGGAGAAAGAUGCGCUGGCACACCCGGUUGUGGCCCCUGCCAAACUUCUCGUUACAGUUGAAGCAAAGGCCCAGGCGACGGCGUUCCUCCAUCUCUGUCUGGGAGAGACGCUUGAUUGGGCGUCCGUCCGGCAGAUUGUGGCCCUGCUGAGGUGCGGCUGGUGGGGCCGGAGCGGGGGGCGCGAGGCGUGGUCCUGGUGUCGGCAGGAUGCCCUUCUGUGGAACACGCACUGGUGGCGCGGCGGAAAGCGCGCACUGGUCGCGCAGCUCCAAUUUGCGGGCGAGGCUCAUGGCGACGGCGAGGGACUGUGGGUUAUGGAUCUCCACGUCGAGGCUGAGGGGUGGCUGGAGUCCCACGGUGAAGAUCUGCACUUUCUGUGUCUCGGAUAAGGUGCCUGCCCGGGGAAGGAGUGCCUCAAGCCGCUCCUGGAAGUCAACGACGGACGUCGUGCGUUUGCACGCCAUUAGUUCGCCCAGUGGGUUAGCGCGCAGCGGUGGCCCGAAGCGGAGAUUGAGCAGCUCGGAGAAGCGGCGCCACGGAGGUGUGCCCUCGUCGCGCUGGACCUGCAUAUACCAUAGUUGGGCAGGACCCUCGAGAUUGUAGGACGCCAUCCACACCUUCUCCUCCUCGGCGAUCCGUUGUUGAUGGAAGAAGGACUCGCAUCUGUUGAUGAAGGCGAGCGGAUCAGACUUGCCGUCGAACUUGGGGAAGUCCAUCUUCUGGAACCUGGGCGGCCGAUCAUUGUGGUGCUGCCCAUCAUGGGCGGCGGCAGCGCUGGACGAAGAGGAGGACUUGUCCUUCUGGAGUGCGGUGACGGACGACUGCAGGGACGUCACCGUGGCCGUCAAGGCCUCGAUCAUCUUAGCCAGAUCCGCGGUGGUCGGUUCUGCCAUGCCGGAAGUGACCGAGGCGGCAGCGGAUUGUGGCGAUGUCGGGGAGCUGGGCGCGGACACAGGGGGGAAAGCGACCGGCGGAUGGAGCGUGGACGAGGAGGAGGAUCGCCUGGAACCUGAUACCAAGUUGUCAAGGGCCUCGGUGCCCAAGACAGCAGGACCUCGACUACGUAGUUCGUAGUCGCGGUGGAUAGGAGCGCUAGGGUUUUUGCCUGGCUGCUCUAUGAUGCGGGAGGGGAAGAUAGAAGGAAAUAACUUUAUUGCUUAUCCCUAAAGGGUGCUAACUAUCUGAUAUAUAAAGGCCCCAUGGGCUAAUAACAAACUAGAAACCUAUACGAAACAAACUAGUCUAGGAACUAAUGUGCCCGGAUCAGGACUCCUGUCCAGCCUGCGCCUUGCCUGAUGCGGCCAUCGGCUGCUCCUGGCCGCGCGGCCCACGUCUGUAAGACAUGCCCCACAUGACAAAAACCACUAAGAUACCCUGAUACAAAAGCAUGUUCAUUUCUAUCUUACAACAAUGUCUUUCAAGAAGCAUAGUUAGUUAUAAGCUGUGGUGAAUUCCUAUCAGUGACACAAAGUUGUCAGCUACUUAAAUAGGCCCUCUAUGGCUAGCCCUAUAACGUGUACCAUUAAUCCAUGAUGGUCAUAAAUCUCACAACUCUAUCAUUCACACAUCUAACCCUGGAUAAUGCAUUUACUAAGCAGGUUCAAUUUGCAAUUAGAUUUGGUUUUCAGGCAUAUAUGCUUAUGCUGAUUUUCACUAUGUGCAUGCUUACAAAAUUUCAAUUGAAAGCACCACAGAGCCCAGAACACCAAGAAUGAUUGUUGCACAAGGAAUUCAGCAUGUUCAAGUUAAUUAAUCUGCCAAUAUACAAGUAAACAUAGUACAGAGAACAAUAUUCCGAAUCUAGGAGCUAGGUAAGCAACACAUAAGGCAAUCACCGACUGUGCAAGCUUAAUAAUCAAUUAAACUAUACUAUCCAAACUACGGUGAUUGAAGCAUAAACUGUUGUGGCUCUGAAUUUACCGGGGUGCUCUUCGUCGAGCUCCGUUGGCUGAGCGGCCGGGCGAGGUCGCGGAGGCAGAGGUAGGUGGUGUCGGUGGGCAAGGGGCAUGCAUCAGCAGCAGCAGAAAUGCUGCAGCUGAGCUAGACAGUCGUAGGUGCAGUAGCAGCUUGUAGCAAGGAGCGGCCUGCACUCAGCUCCUUGAGCGACUGGCCACAAAACAAGAAGUUGUACUGUUGGGCAGGAGGUCCUCAACCCCGCAACUCCUCCAGCAGGCUCCACUGUUUGCCGUUGAAUUAUAAGCCAUGGCAUUGGAGUGGGAUGCGUCCACACUGACGACAUUGAACAGACAGGGGUGGUGGCUGCGAACUGCUUGUACGUGGUGGUGGCGUAGUACCAUCAGGGAGGAGGAAGAGUGGUGGCAGGGGAGCAUCACCUGCUGCCGGAGGAUAAGUUGGCAAUAUCGUAUUCUAUUAUGUAUUGAACUUAAGUGCAGGGUUGAAUUGAACUUUUCUAACACAUAUUCACUGAACUCGGUCCCCUUGAAUGUUUAUUUUUAUAGUUAUGUUGGCAUGAGGCUAUGAAAUACAUCUCAACAAUUGUUUUUGGGUGAGUUUCAAAAAAUAUAAUACUAAGUGAACAGUACAACCUAACCUAACUGGAUAUGCAACAUGCAGUAGACAUGUUCAGUGUCUCGACUUUUCACAAAAAACUGCAGAUGUACUAUCAUCUAUGCAAAAAUGUAUCAUAGAAAUAAUGGAGAAGGCUUAGUUAAAAUGGGAACACCUUGUUCAGUUUUGAUCAAAUUAAUAUCACAAAGAGCACUCGCUACCUUCUCUACAGAGUCCAGGUUAUAGAAAAAAUGGUGAAGAAAUAAGAACAAUUAUCACUUGUACUGCCUAGAAAAUAACACGCAAACUUGUAGCAUUUGAUCAGUUGAACUUGUCAUAAUAGAAAUAAAUAACUAUGUACACGGAUACAACUUGCAUCAUCCAUGACAGUUUGAACUGUUGUCAUCCAUGAUGGUAUUGUGAUUACUUGAAUGGGUAGCGACGGUCAAUGUUCUAAACUGUACAAAAACUCAUGUUCUUUGACAGUUUAAAUUUUGUCUAAACUUACCGGUUUCCUGUCUCUGAACUUACAAAACUUACAGAGAUGUACUCAACCACCACCACGAUGAUAAGAUGGACACAGACCAAAGGAUUCGAUGCUCAUCAGUAAGUAGCAGGAUAACAUUCAGCAGGGCACGGUACGGUUGAGACAAAAAGAUUGAGAGUUUCAGACGAUACCGAAGGAUUGGUCGUUGAUGAACACCUACACUGUGUGGCGGGCAGAGUUGAUGAUGAGCUGUGGCCACUGGCCGGACUUGAGGAACUACUUGUUGGAGUUGAUGUUGACGCUACAUAUUCAGGGUGAAGUUAAGGGAUUAGCAGAUAUGAACCAAUGGUUUCAAGGAGACAGAAUGGUAGCCAGACUUAUCCCACGAAUGGGAUUCGACUUGGAUAGUGGCUAACGCUCAUUUGAACUGAGAAGGAGAUCGCGGUUGCGCCCAGAAGGAAGAGAAGGGGGUUGCCUGAGGCAGGGGGCCGGCGGUGGUCAGGGGAAGAAGUCGGGCGGUCGGUGGCGCUUUUCGGUUCAGAGAUGCAACGGUCAUGUCGGACGAAGGUCUCGGUGGCGCUCGCGUGCGGGGGGCACGGCGACCACGUCCAACGACGCUGGUUAUGGCGGGGCGCGCGCCAACGACGGGUCCAUGGAGGCUGUGGGAGGUGGCGGUGGUGGGGCGCACGCUGAUGGCGGGGACAUCAGUGGCUAUGGGAGGUGGCGGUGGUGGGGCGCGCACCAGCN
This 8493-nucleotide long non-coding RNA is filed under the name Triticum aestivum (bread wheat). Its description in RNAcentral is "long non-coding RNA (TAES_LNC016516)". The record is from RNAcentral. Lineage: Eukaryota; Viridiplantae; Streptophyta; Magnoliopsida; Poales; Poaceae.